Long non-coding RNA from Meriones unguiculatus (Mongolian gerbil), 1988 nucleotides. RefSeq lists it as uncharacterized. The transcript is spliced from 3 exons. The record is from RefSeq and is a predicted model, not a curated record. NCBI's taxonomy places the organism in Eukaryota, Metazoa, Chordata, Mammalia, Rodentia, Muridae.
CGAAGUACUCGAUCUCAAACAGGAAGUCCGGGGUGGGCACAGGUGUGUGAGAGGAGCCCGUCAGCUGCUGGAUCUUUUCAAACUUGAAAACACGAAAGUGGAACAUGAGGGAGUCGAAGUUUCAUUCGGGAGCUGUGCUCAGGAUAGAACUCCAGACCUUGUACACGCAAGUUCCGGUACUAAGAGACAUCCUGGAGGCAUGGACAGGGCCUUCACUUAUCAGAAAUACCUGCGGUUGAUAGACUUUUGAGCCCUCUGUGUGCUCUUAGCCACUGCUCCAUGGCUAAAGCACGUUUGCCCAAGGGAAGUACGCCAUAGUUAACCCCGUUUCCAGGGGAGGAGCCCCAUCCUGACCUGCAGAGCAGAACUUGCCGCUGUGUAACUUCCUUGGCUGCCAGACAUAUAAGAAUCUCUGAAAGUGACAACCAUGAACCUGCAUUUUCAGCCAGCUGCCCAGUGGUGCUCAGGGAGGUCUCAGAGCUACUGGCUUAGCUUGGCAUUGUCCCAAAACAGCCAGCCUUAGGGAGCUGUGACCCUCCACACCAGCCUCACCUCUGCCUUCUCUGCGCUGUGAAUUGUCAGGAUCUUGGAGGACAAAAUCCAGCUCACCAGGUCCCAGGCCUGUUUGUCUGUGUCUCUGGACGACUGGAGAAGUUCCUUCAGGUUGGGUAACCUGCCAGCAUCCGCAAGCUGAAAGGAGAACCUCCAUUAGCAAGGAUCCCCGCUACAAUGGUGAUUGAACGCCCUCUAGUGGUGAGACAGAAAACUUCACUCCUAACACGAGGAAUUUUCCAAGCCCAUCUCCAUUCAUUCGUGACUCCCAGCUGACCGGCAGAAAAGCUCUCUACCAGAGACCCACAGCUACCACACUUGGCGAGGACUCAGAUCGGCACAUCACUCAACUCUCAAUCAGAAAAGCUUCUUCUUGCAGGAGACACGAGGUUCUUGCACUCACAGAGAAGCACUGGGGGAUCCAGGGAUGUUAAACAUGCAGGGUUGUCUGUUCAAAGGAAGAGAUGUGUAGCCUGUUUCCACCCAGAAGUCUGGGACGGGGCAUGGUUAAUAGCCUGGUGACCUCUGCUCUCUCUGUAUGACCCGAGACCACCACAGAGCCUUUCUGAACCCCUUAAGAUGUCACAUGUAAUAAGGACCCACCCUUAUGGAAGAUGUCAUGUGUACUUUACAAAGAGUUUUGAUGUAAUUGUGUCUUAAGUUUUGUUGUACACACGGCACUGAUUAACAUCAGGAAACUCCUCAACUGUGCUGUGAUUAAAUAUGCCUAAAAUAAAUUGCCCAGUGUCAAGGGUGAACCGACACGAGCUACUGAAUCGUGUUGAACUAGACUUCCUUCUUGCCCCACAGGGAUCAGACUGAUGUGCUCCUGGCCAUGGUGUUUGCAGAGACCCUUACAGUACACAGUAAUUAGUACAGAGACACACAACUGUACAACAUGGAGACGGUGACUGUCUUUGGAGCACUCAGCCCUAACGGGAAUGUUCUUUAUAAAGCUUCUCCCCUCAAGGCUCGGGGUCUAUGUGAAGAGGAAGCAGAAAGACUGUGAAAAUCAGGAUGGUGGCUCCAAGGGAGAGCAUCAUCCAGAUACAACACAUGUGACCUCAGAGACUAUGGCAGCAGGCAUAUGGCAGGACUGCACGGAUUUAAAUCAGACAAAAUCUCAGCACAGAGGAAGAAAGUGGGCACAAAGUUCCGCCCGAACCAAGAAGCAGACCUGCUAGGAAAGAGACAAUCAGUUUUCCCCAGUGGAGUGUCACUAGGUAUUCCGCACGCUCUGGGGCAGGCCCCAUGCUCAGGUGCACUGGCCAGUACAAAAUGGACCCCAUGAUUUUUGCAUGAAUUUUUUAUUUCGUUGUAUUUUUUUUUUGUCUUGCUAGUUUUUAGUUUGUUUGUUUUGACCUUUUUUGUUUGUUUGUUUGUUUGUUUGUUUUGAAAGACAGAAAGAACAUGACGUAAGUCGGGAGGUGGGGAGA